Molecule: ribosomal RNA, 258 nt
Filed under: uncultured bacterium
Lineage: Bacteria
Description: partial 16S ribosomal RNA
Rfam family: Bacterial small subunit ribosomal RNA
Source: RNAcentral
UGGCGGACGGGUGAGUAACGCGUGGGUAACCUGCCUUGCACUGGGGGAUAACACUUAGAAAUAGGUGCUAAUACCGCAUAAGCGCACGGUCCUGCAUGGGACAGUGUGAAAAACUCCGGUGGUGCAAGAUGGACCCGCGUCUGAUUAGCUGGUUGGCGGGGUAACGGCCUACCAAAGCGACGAUCAGUAGCCGGCCUGAGAGGGCGGACGGCCACACUGGGACUGAGACACGGCCCAGACUCCUACGGAAGGCAGCAG